Molecule: ribosomal RNA, 130 nt
Filed under: Erinaceus europaeus (western European hedgehog)
Lineage: Eukaryota; Metazoa; Chordata; Mammalia; Eulipotyphla; Erinaceidae
Source: RNAcentral
UCUACGGCCCAUUCCCCCCUAUACAUGCUCGGAUCUGGUCUGAUCUCGGAAGGUAAGCAGGGUCGGGCCCUGGUUAGUACUUGGAUGGGAGGAAGUGAUCCAUCUAAAAUGGAAUUAGAAAAUCCUAUGA